CUUGGAGGAAUGUAUAGCGAAAGCUAGUUGCAUUAAAUUCGAUUAAUUCGAAGUUAAUGCAUCAUCGACUAUGUCGAAUAAAGUUCUAGGUAGAGUUAUGAUAAUGACAUUUUCUAUCUAUGUGUCUUGACCAAAUCACGUGCCAGCAGUCGCGGUAAUACGUGGAAGACUAGUGUUAUUCAUCUUUAAUAGGUUUAAAGGGUACUUAGACGGUAAAUUAAGCCCAGAUAAAAACAAAGGGUACUAAUAUACUAGAGUUUUAUAAGAGGAGGGUGUGUACUAGUGGUGUAGAGAUGAAAUUCUGUCAUACCAUUAGACAGGCAACGGCGAAAGCAACCUUUA
This 342-nucleotide ribosomal RNA is filed under the name Circinaria podoliana. RNAcentral's name for it is "SSU rRNA". It matches the Rfam family "Bacterial small subunit ribosomal RNA", at positions 352 to 730 of the family's 1533-position model. The record is from RNAcentral. Lineage: Eukaryota; Fungi; Ascomycota; Lecanoromycetes; Pertusariales; Megasporaceae.